AGCAGUAGGGAAUCUUCCACAAUGGACGAAAGUCUGAUGGAGCAACGCCGCGUGUGUGAUGAAGGGUUUCGGCUCGUAAAACACUGUUGUAAGAGAAGAAUGACAUUGAGAGUAACUGUUCAGGUAUUGACGGUAUUUAACCAGAAAGCCACGGCUAACUACGUGCCAG
Molecule: ribosomal RNA, 169 nt
Filed under: uncultured bacterium
Lineage: Bacteria
Description: partial 16S rRNA
Rfam family: Bacterial small subunit ribosomal RNA
Source: RNAcentral